UAGGGAAUCUUCCACAAUGGGCGAAAGCCUGACGGAGCAACGCCGCGUGAGUGAUGAAGGUCUUCGGAUCGUAAAACUCUGUUAUUAGGGAAGAACAAAUGCGUAAGUAACUAUGCACGUCUUGACGGUACCUAAUCAGAAAGCCACGGCUAACUACGUGCCAGCAGCCGCGGUAAUACGUAGGUGGCAAGCGUUAUCCGGAAUUAUUGGGCGUAAAGCGCGCGUAGGCGGUUUUUUAAGUCUGAUGUGAAAGCCCACGGCUCAACCGUGGAGGGUCAUUGGAAACUGGAAAACUUGAGUGCAGAAGAGGAAAGUGGAAUUCCAUGUGUAGCGGUGAAAUGCGCAGAGAUAUGGAGGAACACCAGUGGCGAAGGCGACUUUCUGGUCUGUAACUGACGCUGAUGUGCGAAAGCGUGGGGAUCAAACAGG
Molecule: ribosomal RNA, 429 nt
Filed under: Actinomycetes bacterium
Lineage: Bacteria; Bacillati; Actinomycetota; Actinomycetes
Description: Actinobacteria bacterium partial 16S ribosomal RNA
Rfam family: Bacterial small subunit ribosomal RNA
Source: RNAcentral